Non-coding RNA from Nemania abortiva, 87 nucleotides. Lineage: Eukaryota; Fungi; Ascomycota; Sordariomycetes; Xylariales; Xylariaceae. The record is from the annotation of a GenBank genome assembly.
GACCGUGUGGCGUAAUGGUAUCGCGCCUGAACGCCGAACAAGCUUUGUGUACUAGGGAGAUAUGGGUAUCGAAUCCCAUCACGGUCG